This 5205-nucleotide long non-coding RNA is filed under the name Mus musculus (house mouse). RNAcentral's name for it is "long non-coding RNA chr4:91328041-91333246". Lineage: Eukaryota; Metazoa; Chordata; Mammalia; Rodentia; Muridae. The record is from RNAcentral.
GUGAAGAAGAUUAAUUCAUACUUUUUCUGUUGCCUUUAAUUUACUCAAAUAGAUUUCCAUGAAAAACUACUUCAAAACAGCAAAGUGGGCAAGCUACAGGACCAAGGUGGGUCCAAGGCAAAACCCUAAAGACUGUGUGCUGUACAACAGGACAAAGGGACAAUAUUGGUGAUGGAUGCAUUUUCCUGUGCUCCCCAAAAUCUGCUGUUAUCUCCUAAAUAAGUUUUCAAAGCACCAUAACAACACUAUCUCUAGAUUCACUUGGCAAAUAUGAGUACAAUUUGUUUAAAAUCCUAAGACAAUAGCUCUCAAUUAUUUACUGUUUUCUAGAAAUAGAGAUUUGAACAAAGAGGAGAGGACACCACCAUGCAAUAAUAAUGAUGUCUCCAAGAGUCUCUUAAACUUCUACAGUAUUGAAGGUUUCCAUAACUCCAGGCAGAGACUAAAGUAUCAUUUUCACGAUGUCUCAUUAACUAAAAAGCCAAAGAUAAAGCUAAAAUAAAAAGCUGGAGAAACUCCAAAGUUGAAGUUUUUAAGAGACAUGUUAAAUUAUUCUCUAUCAACUGGGAAUCCUUAAAGUUGCAGAAUAUUACUUUAAAGCUUUUGACUCCCCUUCCCACAGAAUUCAUACUAAUUUUCCUUAAAGAGAAGAAAAUCUUAUGUUUCCAAUUCAGUCUACGUGAACAAGAGCAUGGCUCCCAGUGUAGAGAGCAAGACUCUACUCCUACAAAAGGGCAUACAUAAUACAUACAUGUUUUCUCUUCUUCCUAGGCCAUAUGCAAACUAAGGAAGGAGUGGCAUUUGCAUUAAAUACUCGUAUACUUCAAUCAUUUUACACGUGUUCACUAACCUGGCAUGAGAGGUUCAAACACAGAACUCAAGACUACAGUAGAGAAUGUACUAAAAAUAUAACUUGAGGUGCUCUAUGUUUCUCUGAAUACUGGUACACAUAUAUGGUUGUCUUUUUAACACAAGAUGGCCAUUAACCCUCAAGAUAAACUUCUAAUCUACUAAGAAGGAAUCUAGCUUUCCACAGAGGAACAUCUCCAACUGGAUAACGUUUACCAACACUAAGUCCUCCUAAUAUGUCUCAGUAGAGUUCCUUUCUCAUGCUAUCUUUGAUCAACUUACUGUGUGCCCUUUUGUGUCAAAUCCUACAAUACAUAUAUACCACACAGAGGGACAACUUUUGACUCACAUUCAUAGCUAUGUUGUUCAUGACAAUAUUCUUAUCAUGUUCUUCAAUAAGCAUUAAUGUUACAGAAGCAAAUGUACUACAGCAACCUAAAAUCAAAUUAAUCACAUGUAAUAUAGUAUAGUUCCUAAAUACAGCCACUAUUUGCAAUAUUUAAAACCUAAGAUGUUAAGCGAGAUAGGUCAAUAAUUAAAAGUACCUACUAUCUACCUCAGGAUGCAAUCUGGUCUCUUCAGGCACCUGAACUCAUGUGCAGGCACCUGUACCUACACACAUGCAUACACCUAACUGAAAAUUUAAAAAUAAACAUAAAAAAACAGGAUUGUAAUUGCAUGAAUAUAUAUUAAAACAAAGGCGUGAAAGGCUUAAAGGUAUGGCUCAAUGGUAGACAGACUAUGUAGUUAACAUGUGCAUGGCUCUAGUUCCCAUCACUGGCACCAAACUAAAUAAAUCAUAAAAAUAAAAUGAAAGCUUCAUUCAGUUCUUCAUCAGAGUUCAGAAUUUCAGAUGAGACAGUGGGCAUUUACAACAAAAUCUGACAGCCUGAGCUCCAUCUCCUGCCCCAAAACUACGAGACAACUAAAAAUCUAUGGCAAUAGACAGGAAUUAAGUGAAAGCCCACACGAGGUCCACGGACAACUGCAACCAGUUCAAAUCUAGCUCAAAGUGUUUUGGUGACCUCUGAAGGAAUUUUAACCUUGGCAAGUUCUCCUAGCUAUAAUGUGUUUUUUCAUUCUUUAAAAAAGUAUGAAUAUUAUAUUGAUUAUAUAAUUAGAUGUAAUAUAUUGCAUUACAUAAUAUAUACUUAUAUUAUAUAUAAGUAUAAUAUAUAUGUAUAUAUGUCUAUAUGUCUAUAUAUGUGUGUGUGUGUAUAUAUAUAUAUAUUUUUUUUUAAUUUGGCUUUUCAAGACAGAGUUUCUCUGAGUCCUGGCUGUCCUAGAAUUUGCUUUGUAGACCAGGCUGUCCUCAAACUCAUUUAGAUCUAUCUGCUUCUGCCUCUCCAGUGCUGGUACUAAAGGUGUCACCACCAUACCAAGCUAAAAUAAAUAAAUAAAUAAAUAAAAUUUUUAAAAAAUCCCUUUUUAAUAAGAAGUUAAAGAAUGGAUAAAAAGAACAACUUAUAAAACUGUCAGAGCUGGCAAGACCAAAAGAGGAGGAAGUAGAAAGGAAGGAGGGAAAAGGGGAGGGAGAUUUAAAGAAAAAAAAAGGAAAAGAGAAAAAAAGAGCCAGGUACUACACAAAAAAAGGUAUUGUUAUGGUGUGCACAUCACACACACACAUGUGCACACACACAAGUACCUUAACUGUGCCUACAGACUAGGAUAUAUUUUCUUCACGUACUCAAAAGAAUAUUUUUACUUACUAGAAAGCAGACUAUUCAUCAUCCAUCAAACGCCAUGUUCUAAGUACAAAAUAUUUAAAUUACUGUAGUACAUACCAUCAAUUAUUUGAAGGAAAAAAUCUUUAGCAUAAAAAUAUUCAUGCAGCUAGCCAAAUCAAAACAUUUUCUUACUAAACAGCUAACAGUGAGAGCCAGAUGGCAUUUUAAGAAACAUACCUUACAGAUACUAUGUAAGAAUCCAAACCUACAGUACAUAGUGGGCAUUUUUGCUCAAUUUAGCAUAAUACUUAACAGGGGGUCUCAGAAGGGUCAGCAAAUUGUCAGGAAGCUGUGAUUAAUACUACACGCCUGAUACUUUUAAUGUCACUCAGGGGAUUAAGCCAUUUUAGAGAGCUAAGCCAUGAACUAAGAUUAAUUCUGAAGAUAAACUAGUUUGAACCAUCCCAUACUGAGAAAAUCACUUUGUAUAGCCAAAUACUUCUUGGUAUAGUUUAAUGAGACAAUUCUGUCUAUGUUUACUGAUGAAAAAGAAGCUAUCUGCAAGACAAUCUAUCCGCCAAGACUUGGUAAACAAACCUGGGCACAAAAAUAAUGUACAUAGAUGGAGGUGCCAAGUUGUGAGAGAUGACGGAGGCAGGGAAGUUGGGCCAUGUAACUAUGGAGAAAAGCAAAAGGAAGUCAAACGAUCCUGAUGCUUUUGAACAUCAGCCCCUUUCCUCGUUUUUCUACAACUGCUCAUUAAACUCUCUCAUGCCCUCUUGAGAGUUCAGCUGAGGGCCCAGAUAGCCCAAGAUACUAACCUAGCCAAAGAAGAAAAGUACCCCUCAUCUAGGCAAUCAACAAAACUCACAUCCCAUAGGCAGAAAAUACAGAGAAAUCAUUCCAUAGUUGUAAAAGGUACCUGACCUUUACUCAAGAGACAGACUUGCCCUACUUCCAGUUGAUUUGUUGGGCAUAAUUACUUUUACUUCAUCUCUUAAACUACAGCCCCCUAAAACAGAAAAGAGCUGGUUCAAAGUACCAAGUACCGAGAGUAAAAGGCAGCAAGAUCUCCGUUCAAAACCUGGGACCACUUAGAGCAGCCACAUGGGCAACGAGAGCUCCUAAACUGAAGAAAUCACACAGCAAACCAAUACAGCUCUGGGCAGCUACAGAGUGCCCAUGCUUCAACCUGAAAACAAUGAGGUAAAUACUGCAAUGAGACAUGACAGAUCCUAGGAGACGGGCUUUAGUCACAACUAAAAAGAUUUUUUUAAAAAUUAGAUGUGCUUCAAAUACCAACACAUUUGAAGGACUUUGACACCUGCAUUUCCUCCAAUCGGUAAAUCUCAUAAAACACAGAGCAACAUGCUGUAUACUCAAGAUGACUCAGACAAGGGGUCCCUACUUACUUUCUAGCAAAGAACAGAACACAUAAAUAGAACUGCAACACAGGAUGCAAGCUGGAGUGUGAAGAGGGAUGAUGUCACAGUGACAUGGGGAAACCCAUGAUGAAGGCUCCAGACAGAACAAGUGACUAUGCAGAAAGAAAACUGUGUGCUGUGCAGUGCUCAAACAGAGGAUGGGGUGCACUUAGAUUCACCCACUUAAUAAAUGCCUACCAUGUUUCUGACACUGGGCUGGCCAGAGUACAAGUAUGAGCAAGUCAGGCAUGCAGGGUACGUAGCAGGAGGUACAGGUAUUAAACAAGCCAAAGGUCAAUUCCUGUCUCCAGUACAUUCCAAGGCCAUGAAGAAAAUCGGGAUGCUACAGGAGGAAAAAAGAGUGAUAAAGAAGAAAGCCUCUCUGGUGAAGUGACAUUUAAACUGAGACCUAACAAUGAGGAACAUCUUAUAUAUACUUGGUCUUUGGGGACACAGCAUGGUGCCACCAUGGGAAAGGACAAGGAGAACCAUGAGCUCUGAGCAAUCUACUCCGAGAUUGGCCACAUGCAGUGUGUGAGUUUCUAUAGACAGAACUCUUAUAAGUACAGAAACUUAAGCUGGAAAGCCUGAGUAGCAUCCAUGUGCAGCCAUUUCCUUGCUCACAUGAAGAAAAUGAAGCCUGGAGACUGGCUCAGUGGCCCUUAAGUAGGUGUAGGCAGAGGAUGCUGCUGUCACACCCACUACAUCCAACUGCCAAUUAGUUUUUUAAUCAGAUAAUUCAUAUGAAAAGUUGGAGCUCAGAAAAUAGGUAAAGAAUAAGUAACAUGAGCAGAUUAGGUGCCAAACAUUUCACUAAAGUGUACAGAAAAAUAAUCUUUACACAUUUGGAGUACAAUGAGAAAUUUAAGUUUUUCAUUAAAAAAAAAUCACAAAAUAAAAUAUAUUCGAUUCCUUUUCUGACACUGCACACAUCCUUUUGUAUGUCUGAAAUCUAUGAGAUCAUGGUGAUAAUACAGAGUGUGUCAAAUUAUUUUACAUGCCUUUCCUUGGAGAAACAGACAUGACAAGAAGUCCCCCACACGGCUGAGGACACAUAUCUUAAGGUACCUGCCUGAUAAACAGGGCCAUUGAGGAACAACUAUUACUAAUGGCUGGGAAUGAAGAAAGCCAGCAAUGGGAUUCGCAGAGGCAGUGUACCUCAAAGCAAAACAAUGAAAACAUACUGGAACAGCCACAAAAGAAGAAGGCCCACGCAAGGAGCAAAGUACACUAUGAACUUUUCAUGAAUUCUGUCCCAGGAGAUC